Molecule: long non-coding RNA, 646 nt
Filed under: Rattus norvegicus (Norway rat)
Lineage: Eukaryota; Metazoa; Chordata; Mammalia; Rodentia; Muridae
Description: long non-coding RNA NONRATT021575
Source: RNAcentral
AUUGCGCUUGGCUUCUUUCGACAGUAGUGGAAAACUCAUAUGCAGUAGAGCGACUGGCUACCAAAUCCUGACGCUUGAGAAAGACCAGGAGCAAGUGGUGAUGAACUUGGACAGCAGACUGCUGAUCUUCCCUCUAUACAUCUGCUGUAACUUCUUGUAUAUAUCACCAGAAAAAAGAACUGAGAGUAAUCGUCACCCAGAAAACCCAGGACACUGAGGCACGCAUCGGUGGCCAGCUUUAACUUAAUGACCUACUGCGUUCACGUCCAAGAAUUCCUCGGCUGUGAGUGUCUUCUCCCUCCUAGAAUUGCCAUAUGGAGAUUUCUAAAGCAAUGAUUGGGCCAGUAAGAGGCUACGUUUCUGCAGUGCCCCUAGCUAUGAUUAUCUCUCCAGCUGCUAUUGUUUUCUUUCAGAAAUAAGAGAUCUUUACUCUUCAUAUAUUAAAAAACAAAAAACAGAUACAGCACACAUCUGUAAUCCCAGCACUCAAAAGGCUGAGGCAGGAGAAUCACAAGACUGUGGAAGCCUGGGCUGCAUUGCAAGGCCCUGCUUUAAAACAUCAUCGUCAAAAAACAAAAUAUUAUACUCAAAUAUAUUUUUACAAAUCUUAGAAAUUAAAGUGUGAACAUAUCAAUAACAAAGAGAA